RNAcentral lists this ribosomal RNA (206 nucleotides) under uncultured bacterium. RNAcentral describes it as "partial 16S ribosomal RNA". It matches the Rfam family "Bacterial small subunit ribosomal RNA", at positions 664 to 876 of the family's 1533-position model. The record is from RNAcentral.
GAAUAUGUGGUGUAGCGGUGMAAUGCAUAGMUAUCACMUAGAAYACCAAUUGCGAAGGCAGAUCACUAACUAUAUACUGACGCUGAUGGACGAAAGCGUGGGGAGCGAACGGGAUUAGAUACCCCGGUAGUCCACGCCGUAAACGAUGRAUACUAGCUGUUGGAUNUNUNCAGUGGCUAAGCGAAAGUGAUAAGUAUCCCACCUGG